GAUGAACGCUGGCGGCGUGCCUAACACAUGCAAGUCGAGCGAGAAGCUCAUGAUCGAAACUUCGGUUGAUUGAUUGAGUGGAAAGCGGCGGACGGGUGAGUAACGCGUAGGCAACCUGCCCCUUGCAGAGGGAUAGCCUCGGGAAACCGGGAUUAAAACCUCAUAAUGCGUUUUGAAGACAUCUUCGAGACGCCAAAGAUUUAUCGGCAAGGGAUGGGCCUGCGUCUGAUUAGUUAGUUGGUGGGGUAACGGCCUACCAAGGCAGCGAUCAGUAGCCGACCUGAGAGGGUGAUCGGCCACAUUGGAACUGAGACACGGUCCAA
RNAcentral lists this ribosomal RNA (323 nucleotides) under uncultured bacterium. RNAcentral describes it as "bacterial SSU rRNA". It matches the Rfam family "Bacterial small subunit ribosomal RNA", at positions 28 to 334 of the family's 1533-position model. The record is from RNAcentral.